CCAUAUAUUCCCGUACCCGCGAAGAAGCGCCCAUGUCGAACCCGGUGAUGCUAAACGCCCGGACCAAUGGUUCCCUUCGGGGGGCCGGCGGCGAGCGCGUGACCCGAUCCGGUAGUAGUCAAGCGAUGGGGUGACACAGGAAGGUAGCUCCGCCAGUCAGUGGUAAUACUGGUGUAAGGGUGUAGGUAGCGUGGAUAGGCAAAUCCGUCUGCGUGUUGAUCUGAGACCUGACGCAUAGCCGAUUGAGGCGAAGCAGAGUGAUCCUAUGCUGUCGAGAAAAGCCUCUAGCGAGCUUCGAGCGGCCCGUACCCCAAACCGACACAGGUGGUCAGGUAGAGAAUACCAAGGUGAUCGAGCGAACUAUGGUUAAGGAACUCGGCAAAAUACCCCCGUAACUUCGGGAGAAGGGGGACCGAGGUGUGUGAAGCCCCUUGCGGGCUAGCAUGUUUUGGUCGCAGAGACCAGGGAGAAGCGACUGUUUACUAAAAACACAGGUCCAUGCGAAGUCGCAAGACGAUGUAUAUGGACUGACGCCUGCCCGGUGCUGGAAGGUUAAGAGGACCGGUCAAUCACUUCGGUGGUGAAGCUGAGAAUUUAAGCCCCAGUAAACGGCGGUGGUAACUAUAACCAUCCUAAGGUAGCGAAAUUCCUUGUCGGGUAAGUUCCGACCUGCACGAAUGGCGUAACGACUUCUCUACUGUCUCAACCAUAGGCUCGGCGAAAUUGCAGUACGAGUAAAGAUGCUCGUUACGCGCGGCAGGACGGAAAGACCCCGGGACCUUUACUAUAGCUUGGUAUUGGUGUUCGGUUCGACUUGUGUAGGAUAGGUGGGAGACUGUGAAGCGAUAACGCCAGUUAUUGUGGAGUCAACGUUGAAAUACCACUCUGGUCGUACUGGAUAUCUAACUUAGGUCCAUGAUCUGGAUCAGGGACAGUGCCUGGUGGGUAGUUUAACUGGGGCGGUUGCCUCCUAAAGAGUAACGGAGGCGCCCAAAGGUUCCCUCAGCCUGGUUGGCAAUCAGGUUUCGAGUGUAAGUGCACAAGGGAGCUUGACUGUGAGAGGGACAUCUCGAGCAGGGACGAAAGUCGGGACUAGUGAUCCGGCGCCACAUUGUGGAAUGGGCGUCGCUCAACGGAUAAAAGGUACCCCGGGGAUAACAGGCUGAUCUUGCCCAAGAGUCCAUAUCGACGGCAUGGUUUGGCACCUCGAUGUCGGCUCGUCGCAUCCUGGGGCUGGAGUAGGUCCCAAGGGUUGGGCUGUUCGCCCAUUAAAGCGGCACGCGAGCUGGGUUUAGAACGUCGUGAGACAGUUCGGUCCCUAUCCGCCGCGCGCGUAGGAGUCUUGAGGAAGGCUGUCCCUAGUACGAGAGGACCGGGACGGACGAACCUCUGGUGUGCCAGUUGUUCCACCAGGAGCACGGCUGGUUGGCUACGUUCGGAAGGGAUAACCGCUGAAAGCAUCUAAGCGGGAAGCCUGUUCCAAGAUGAGGACUCCCACCCUUAAGUGGGGUAAGGCCCCCGGCAAGACCACCGGGUUGAUAGGCCAGAAGUGGAAGCACCGUAAGGUGUGCAGCUGACUGGUACUAAUAGGCCGAGGACUUACCGCA
Molecule: ribosomal RNA, 1607 nt
Filed under: metagenome
Description: bacterial LSU rRNA
Rfam family: Bacterial large subunit ribosomal RNA
Source: RNAcentral